Molecule: ribosomal RNA, 497 nt
Filed under: uncultured bacterium
Lineage: Bacteria
Description: partial 16S ribosomal RNA
Rfam family: Bacterial small subunit ribosomal RNA
Source: RNAcentral
GAUGAACGCUGGCGGCGUGCCUAAUACAUGCAAGUCGAGCGAACGGACGAGAAGCUUGCUUUUCUGAUGUUAGCGGCGGACGGGUGAGUAACACGUGGAUAACCUACCUAUAAGACUGGGAUAACUUCGGGAAACCGGAGCUAAUACCGGAUAAUAUUUUGAACCGCAUGGUUCAAAAGUGAAAGACGGUCUUGCUGUCACUUAUAGAUGGAUCCGCGCUGCAUUAGCUAGUUGGUAAGGUAACGGCUUACCAAGGCAACGAUGCAUAGCCGACCUGAGAGGGUGAUCGGCCACACUGGAACUGAGACACGGGCCAGACUCCUACGGGAGGCAGCAGUAGGGAAUCUUCCGCAAUGGGCGAAAGCCUGACGGAGCAACGCCGCGUGAGUGAUGAAGGUCUUCGGAUCGUAAAACUCUGUUAUUAGGGAAGAACAUAUGUGUAAGUAACUGUGCACAUCUUGACGGUACCUAAUCAGAAAGCCACGGCUAACUACGUG